This 115-nucleotide ribosomal RNA is filed under the name Salvia splendens (bonfire salvia). Lineage: Eukaryota; Viridiplantae; Streptophyta; Magnoliopsida; Lamiales; Lamiaceae. The record is from RNAcentral.
GCGAUCAUACCAGCACUAAUGUGUCGGAUCCCAUCAGAACUCCGUAGUUAAGCGUGCUUGGGCGAGAGUAGUACUAGGAUGGGUGACCCCCUGGGAAGUCCUCGUGUUGCACCUC